UUACUCUUAGCUCUAUGCAGCCCAUAAAAAAAAAAAAAAGGGACACCUUCUUGAGUUAUUAAAGUCAAUACUGCUAACAGAAGAGAUAGGGAUCUGAACUUUACAGAAAUUCUGAGUGAUGUCUUGAAUGUCCUUUGAUUCUAAUCGUAUUUUGGGGGGUAAGAUGCUCGAAGUGCCAACUCGUCAUUUUCAGAAUUAACUCACUGAAGUUGUAGGUGUCUAGCUGCAUCCCUGAGGUCCUUGCUGGCCAAGGAGUCAGCUAUGAAGUCUGGCUGAGCCUUCAGGCCGGUGUCUGUCAUCACACAGACUUUGCUGGUGGCUUGAAUUGCUCAGAGGUUGCCACAGAGAGUGGGCAGCCUCCACGCUGUAGUGGCAGGAUGUGCUCCCAGGAUGAAUGACUGCCUGACAAGUGUCCACUUCCAGUUCCAAAGCAAACAGCUGGCAGUACCCUUCCUUUAUGCUAAGCACAGAUGAAAUUGGCCCUUCCUUCUCCUCCCCCCACCCCCCCAAGGAAAUAACAUAGUGUUUCCCAUAGCCCACAGCCAGCCUCUCACUCUUCUCUGAACCUUUUAGAUGCAAAUCACCGGGAGGAUGCUAGGGCCCUGGGGACAGAGCUCAUUGUCUGUUGUGUUGUCACCUUCUGUUAUCCAGGUGCACGGCUUGGAUUUCAUUCAACGCCCUAUGUUCCUGGCACAUGAAUAAACUUAGUGUGGUCUGGUGGGCCGAACUGGCUUCCUGCUUCUGUCAGUGCUGUGUUGGCCAGUUAUUUCCACUGUGCAGGAGGCAGCCAGUGCUCCCACACCACGCCCCAUCCCCCACCCCCCCAGGCUGAGGCUGGAGAUGCCCUUUUGUUUCUUACCACUUGGCCCUGGAAACAAUUGUCUUCUGACAGGCUUAUCAUGCACAGGGUGUUCUCCUCACUCUGUAGCUCUUGCCAGAGAAAUAAUAGUGACCUGAUCUUUCCUGAAGUCUCUCUCCUUCUACAAGCACCCUGUGUGAAGCCUGUGGGGAGCCCUCAAUAAAUAUUUGUUGAGUGGAUUGGAUAAAUGGAAUCGCUUCUGGAUCACUUGCCCACUUUAAAGAAUUCCCAAUGUGGUGAGUGGUUUGACAUUUGUGCAUAAUAUGGAGAAAGAGCAAGACUGAAAUGUGGCUGUUAAGAGUCUUGGGCUCAUGUUUGCUAAUCUCCUGUAUGGUGAAACACUGGCACCCAGACAAACUCUCAUUCACAUUGGAACAAAGCACUAGUUAUGUGUGUUGAAAUUCCUUAGAGAAAAUGUCUUGCAGCCUGUUGGGGAGUACAUGAAUGCUGGAAAUACUUCACCCAAUGUUGCUCAACGUCCUGGGAAGACAGUGUGCUGGCAUCUGGACACCCACUCUGGAGAAGGAUUGCAGUGCUCUAGGGCACGUGGGUCUGGUGAGGACAGAAGGAGCAUGGGUGGAAGGGUGGGUGGAGAUGGGGUUGGAUGUUUUCUCUGUAAUCAUCCCAGACCGAGCUGGAGCCAGCUCCAGACUGCCCACUUUCUUAGUCCAUUGAAAGUAUCUAAAGUCAGCUUGUUGCCAAGGCUGUUGCUUCCCCUGCUUGGGGCCAGAUUUUCCUGUUUUUUGAUUAUAAAUCUUAGUUACUUGAGUUUCCUCAACUUUGACCUGGAGAAGUAAGAGGGUAGAGGAAUGAAGGAAAGGUUUUCGAUCAGUGUCAAAGGUAUGAAAUGGUUAGGUGGCGGUCUGUGCAUGUAGGAUGGAAACUAAGUCAACUGUGGCUCCAGCUGUUUGGAGAUAACUCCAAUAGAUGGGACUAAGUGACCAGAGAGCGCAAAGGAAGGUGGAUGUGGUAAUGGGGUAACAGUAAGAAGUGAAUGCCACUAGAAGAGCAAGGAGAAGGUGCUGAGCUAGAGCAACGGUUCUCAUUGUGGCCCCUGGACCAGCAGCAUCAGCAGCACCUGGGAUAAAAAUGCAGAUUGUCAGGUCCAACUCAGACCUACUGAAUCAUAAGCUCAAGGGGUGGAGCCCAGCCAUCUGUGUUUGAACGAGUCCUCCUGGUGAUUCUGAUGCACACUAAAAUUUGUUAGCAGCACUUCUGGAAUGAGGAAGAGACAUCUUGGUAACACUGGGUUUGAGAGGAGGGAGGAAGAGGAAGGGGAGGAGAAUGGACUAAACAGUAGAAAGAAGUUAUACUCCAAGAAAAGGAAAAGUGACGAGGGCUGCCAGAAUGGAAGAAGAAUGUGAGUCAAGAUUGUAAUAGUUCAUGGUAGCCUGGAUUUUUAGUUAGCACAUGCCUGCCACUGACAUCAUGCAGAAGUUUUAAGGAGAAGCAAUGGUAAAAGAACAAAUGUGGAUGCAAAUUCCUCUCAGAAAUUACAAAAGAGAAUUACAUUGCUGGGAUUCACUUGCAGAUCCUGGAAGGGCUCAUUUAUGUGUUUUUCACUCCAGUCUGGUGUGAGUUGAAGGGUGGCCCCCAAAAGAUAUGUCCUCGUCCCAACCCCCAGAACCUGUGAAUGUGACCUUAUUUGGAUAGAGUCUUUGCAGAUGUAAUCAAGUUAAGGAUCUCAAGAUAAGAUCAUCCUGGAUUAUUUAGGUGAGCCCCAAAUCCAAUGAAACUGUCUUUAUGAGACAAGAAGAGGAGACAGACACACAGAGAAGGCAAUGAGAAGACAGAGGCAGAGUUGGGAGUUACGCAGCCGUAGACCACAGAACGCCCGGAGCCACCGGAAGCUGGAGGAAGCAAGGAAGCCUUCUCCCUCAGAGCCUUCGGAGGGGGCGUGGUCCUGCUGACACCUUGAUUUUGGACAUGUGGCUUCCAGAACUGAGGUCACUUUCCUCUUUCUGCCUGGAAUGCAGACAUAAGGCUGAAGAUGGAGCAACGACCUUUGCAGCCAUGGGGAUAAAUCCAUUUCAGAAAGACAUACUUCCUGAUAACAAAUUGAUAACACCAUAGAAUAAGGUCUAUACAUCCCAGAACUACCUAGUUCCAGAUUUUAUGUUUUGUGAGAUAAACUCAACCGUAUGUUGUUAAGCCACUUAUAUCAUCCAGUUUUAGUUGCAGACAUUAGAAUGCACUUCACAUAAUUUAGGUAGAAAGUAGUUUGUUAAAAUAUAGUAGUUAGCUUAUGGAGUUCUAGAAAUCCAGAGAACCAGUUUAGGAUUAUACUGAGGCAGGAAAAGGGCAGCCAGAUCCAACAGAGCCAGGAGAAAAGCCAAUCCGCAAUGCAAGACCGUUCUAGUGGCAAAGCAAGUAUCGCUGCCUCCUGCUGCCCUGUGUUAGGGAAUGGACACCAAACCUUCCUCCAUGGCCAUCCUGGAAGAACAGGUGCCUCUGUCUGUACUCUCCACAUGUAGCUACUCCCAAGCUGCUCACUUUUGCCUAAAAACCUCAUGCAAGAGAACCUACUUGGCAGAACCGUGUGUUUUACUCACCCCCUCUCGACCUGGUUGGUGAAGGAGGGGUUCCUGCUCUAGGGUUAUGAGGAUGGCUCAACACAUGACACUGACACUGGAUGGAUGAUUUUGAUAGCAGUUUCUUGGUCACGUGUACUCACCAUCCAGAGUAGGAGGACACAGCACACCACACAGGGCCACACCGGGUUGUACUCCGGAACAGAGUGAACAAGCAGGGACUGUAGGAGGCAGGCUUUGUAGUAACAAGAGGGUGAGGUGACUCAUGGUUCCCAUGGGAGGAUGUGAUUGGCUUGUUUGAAUAAUUCCACAGGCUGACAGGAAACUGAAACCUGACGCUCAGGGAUAAGCAGGCACUGGGCCUGGUCCCCAUCAUAAGGAGGGCUGUUUGGCUAAGGGACCUUAUCCACUGAGGUAGAAGGGGUGGAGGACUUGAGAUUAGGCCAUAUGAGGCCCUCUCAACUUUACCAGAUGUCAAGUGAAUCUUAAUUUCAGUCUUAUGCCAUAUCGUGUCUCAAGCAAGCGCCCUAGCUGGAAGGGGAUUUGGGAAAUCUAAUUCUAGCUUCCUAUUCUCAGGAAGGCAAGCUAAAGGGAUUGAAAUAGGUGUUGAGUGAGCAAGGUUCCACCUCUUUUAUUAUUCAAGAUCCAUAUACACCCUUCUCUUCAUAAUUAAACUUUUAGAUAAGAGCAGCAGCGACAACAUGGGCCAACCUAACGUCAUCUAACUCAUCUUUAUACAAAUGAAAAUGCACUUAGCAAGGAAAGAUUCCCAGUCUCAUUGGUCAGUGCCUCCACCUCUACAUGAUGUUUAUUCCUUCUCUAAUGCAGUCACAAUCCUGACUAGAUAUCCAGUAGCCCGGGGACUGAAUAAAUAGUAGGGAGAAGGAAAGGGAGAGAUUGUAAAUGCCCACUCAUACACACUCACAUACAUACACAUCAAAGAAAGGAAGAAAAUAUCCACAGCUACCAUAGUCAUUUUCUUCACCUAGCAAGGAGCAGCAACAAGAGGGCAUAGCAGUGCCCAGUAGAAGCCCAGUGAUGCGAGGCAGAUGCAAUGGUGCCAAAUGGGCAUGGUACUAUCUAGGGAGGCCUGGAGUAGAGAAAGGGGGAAAGGAGAGAGGGACAGAUUGUAUGGAAGUACAUAUGAGAUUCCCCCAGUGCUUCUGGAAAUACCAGAGGGGGAGUCUUUGCAGGUGUCUGUGUUUGUGCAUUAUAAGUAAGACAACACUUAUAGAGGAGGACAAAGAGAACACAUGUUAAAGAAGUAAAAAGACACGGUCAGGCAAAAACAAUUACUGUCCAGUCGGGAAGACAAUUAUUAAAUGCACAAAAUAUCUACAGGAAAAAAAAUAGUAUGAGAUUAAGAAUGUUCUGGCUCUAUGAGAAGUACUGAGACGUGGAAGGAAGGGGCCAAUCUGGGAAAGACAACAGAUCACCAUGGUGUCCAAAGGCCAAUGGCCAAUGCACAGUGUUCUCAGAGGGGACAAGAGCCCCCGAGGCCCAGAGAAGUGAAGUGACUUGCUCUAGGUCACACAGGCAGUGAGUAGCAGGGCAAGUAUCCUUCAGUACAGCGCACAUGGCAAACUAUAAUGGAGUAACUUGUAGGAAAUAGUCUUAUGCUGGUUUCCCUUUGCGCUUUUCACUCUCCUUUCAGUCAAAGAAAAGAGCUACUGUGUAUUUUUUGAUUAGGUCAUUUGAUCUCCUCGUGCCUCCAGUAGGCAAACUUCCCCAACCAGUCAUCUGUUUCUCAGCUGAACUUUUUUGGCUAAUAAUAAGAAAAAAAGUAGUUUCUGUUAUGAUAGUAUCUUAUGUGCUGUGCAAUGGAAAGGACGUGAACUGCAAGUCAAGAAACCUGAAUUCUUCUCUUGGCUUGUCGGCUACUACUGGGGGACUUCAAGCAAGUCACUUCAUCCUUUUUGGGCCUCUGUUGCUUCCUGAAAAAUGAAUCCUAGAGCAGUGGUUUUCUAGUUGUUUCUUGGAACCCUAAGAUCACAUGGUAGUACCCAAGAAGAAGAUAAGCAGGGAGACCAACGGAGCAACACUUCUGGUCCCCCACUCCACCUCAGUUUUACAUAGUGGAGUUCCUAAGCUGAAAAAAAAAACCAUCUAGAGAAUUGCCCAGGCACUAAUAAUCUAUGAUUCCAAGGCGUUUGGUUGCUGGUUCUAAAGAUAGCCUCAUGCCCACAUGCUUCAAGUGAGUAAAAUUUUGGAUGGACUAAAAAUAAAGAAUGCUAGUUUGAUUUCCGGAUUUUUUCAGAAUGGUGCAGAGAGAAUGGACUGAGAAAAAUGUUUUGUGAGUAGGGAAUUAUUUUGCUUUCCUGCCAAGAUUUAUUACAUAAGCACGUUUUCUCCCUAGCAACACCAGCCCCAGCGUGAACACUAUUUCACUGUACGUACAUCUGCCUUAAGGACAUAAACCGGAAGAUUCUUAUAGGCUGGGGCCACAUGGAAAUUGAUUGUCAGAACCUUCUAAAAAAAUCAGUGGGAAAGAUGAGAGUUCAGCGUCCCUUGUUUCUUCCUCUAGAAUCUUAGCCAUAUUAGGAAUUUAUUUAAUCAUUUUAUAAAUACCCUAUUACUAUGACGACGAAGACAAUUACACUACAAAUAACAUGGAAAGAGGAUUUCUAGGCAAGUGAAUGUACUCACCUUUAGUCCAGAACAGCUGUUAAAUGGUCUGUUAAUAAACAAGCUGUAAGAAAACAGAGAUUCUCAAGUUAUGUUGCUUGAUGCUAAAGAAAAACUGUUACAGAUGCUCAGACUUUUAGCUAAUGAAAUAAAAACAAUGAUCUACAUGAGACACAAAGUAAAAUUUAGGGAAUGAGAUAUGGGAAUCAAGAUAAUUAGAAUUUUUGUUUGUUUGUUUAAAGGUGAGCAAAUUGGAAGAUUCCAUUAGGACAAUCUUCAAGUGAAUGAAGGUGUUUUGUGAAUUAAAUCUUUCCUGAUCAUUUCUUAUAUUCCUGAAAGAACAAGGAGGAAAUGGACUUAUAUUUAGAAGAAAAGAUCUUGAUUUGUUAACAGAAGUGAGUUGAGAUUUUUUGGUUCUAAAACACUGGGGUGACCAAAAGAAGGUCACCCUCAGAUCACUUGCCAUCAGACCAUCUGUCCUGGGCAUUUGUCCAUUUAAAGGCGAGUGGUUGGAGAAAAGGAUCUUUAUGAUCUUCAUAACUGUAUAUGGAGCAUGUAUAGAAAUGUGAACUGGUAGAAUUAGUAUUAGUAUAUUGCAUCUGUAAAACUUUUGAUGCUUUACAAAAUCCCUUCCCUCUAUGUGAUUUCACUUGGCCUGUGGGAAAGGUUCAGAGGCAGCAUGCCCAUUGUGCCAGUGAAAGACCCGAGACACAGGGCCAUAGGGAGGUGAAAAGCCUUAACCACAGCCACAUGGAACCAACAAAGUCAGGAGCAGCCCCUUCUCCCGCCAUGUAGCCCCAGGCAUCGUAAUAUGAGAGCAACCAGCCGGCAGAGGUAGCCUUGGGGGGAGGAUUGGAAGUGAAAAAGGCCCUGGGAGAGAUGGAGGAAGGGCAUCAUCUGCUGAAGAGUGGCUGCCUGUCGAGACGUCUCUAAGAGGGGGAUUGUGACCUCAGAUACUUAACAGGCUUUAGGACCCAGCCCUCACCUAUCAGGUCCACAGACUCACAAAGGCUCCCUCUCAAUACCUCACAACACGGGAGUGGACAAAAAGCCACACCACCAAUUUAUUUAUUUCUAACAAGCAUGAUCCCUCUCCCCAGUUAUUGGAAUGCUCAUGUCCAUAAGGGCUGAUGAUUCCACGUGAGAAGGUAGAAGCUGGGGACAAAUUACUGGGGCCACCAGGCUGGGAAGGGGACCUUGGCCUGACCAUGUUGCAAAUCAGUUUAAAACCCCUGUGAAGGUUUUUAGCUGUCUGCCUUUGCUGGAGCCCUCAAAUCUUUUUUUUUCACUGGGGCUCGAACUCGUUCUCAGCAGUCCUGUGCUCAUGCUUAUAUUUUAUUCCUAGAAUCAAGGUGUCUGGUUAUUAAAGUAUUUAUAAGAAGGUUAUUUGUUGACCAUAGAAUCAGAUUGAGCUGGAAGAAAUAUUUCAUGGAAAUUUUCCUAGAAAAUUAAACAUAUCAACAUCCCAGCCCUGUAUCUCUGGUGAUUAGAUCUACUAGCAUCCCUCAGAUACCAUAUCCCUCCCCUCUGAAUGGGUGGAAUGUACCAGACAAUUCUGCCCUUUGAAUUAUAUAUUUUAAUGCUGACCAUACUAACCUCCCCCAGCCCCCUGCCCCAUUCAAUGGCCCUUUCUUUCUCUAAGCACAUUAACAUUAUUCUGAUUCCUGUUCAGUCCACGAUAUUUGGCCAUCUUAUUGGUACCACUCUCAGUUUUAAGGGACCCAUAAGUGACAGCAAUGUGUCUGAGGGCUGGGGGACCCAAGCAUGAGAGAAGAGGCCCCAAUUGACCGGAUGAAGUCUUGGAGACAAACAACAGUAAUAAAUGACUCUAUAUUCCUCAGCAUCUGAUCUUCUUAGUAUUUUAAUCUUCCUUUGAGCAAAGCAAGAGCCAUGUCACCAGACAGCUGCCCCCCCACCACCUCCCAUCUUCCUCAUCAUCAGUAAAUUUCUAGCAGUGGCAUAAGGGCCCAGGAGGGUGGCUGCUGUAGGAUUCAGUGACACUUCUUCUUCUUUCUUUCCCACUCCUGGCUUGCUUGGUUUGACCUUGCUUUGACCUUGACACGACUUCUUUAGGCCUCAUCAUCCCAUUUGCAGAAGGGGGGUGUCUUAGACAUGACUGUCUCCAAAAUCUCUGCCAACUCUAGAUUCUCAGAAGGAUUCCCUCCGGAAAAAGAAUCCUAAAUUAAGUAAAUUGGCAUCAGCUUUUGUUUCUGUUCUUUCUUUUCAUUCUGUAGCUGCCAAGUCAUUUUCUAGGUAUUUGAAACUGAGUGAAAAGGUUUCCCGGGGGUUUCAUUUCGGUCGCUCUCUGUGUAUUUUUAUUAUGCACUUACCCAGGGAUCAGCCUCUGUAACUGUCCCCCAGGCACAAGUGUCCUUUUAAUUCCCAGAAGCUUGGCAACCCACGUAAAGUACUCUAAUUAAAAAUGUGCAUUUUGAGAAAAAUUUGAAGUCACACCCUCAUACAGUGGAAGAAAGGAUCUCUGUUAAACUCUCCACAGAAUGAGAAUGACUUUUACUGUUAGAAAGAAAUUUUCUACUCUACCAAUCCUGGCUCCGGCCUUCAGAGUCCACCCGGGCAUUGGAGCUUCAGAGGACUUGCUCCAUGGGUCAGAAGGACUAACCUCCAGCUACCAUCUGUUAAAUCCUUCACUCAGGGACUCGAGCCACUAAACACCUCCUGAGGACCUGCCAUGUGUCCGGCCCAAGCCACUGAGGAUCCAAAGGCAGCAUGUUGCAGGGGUUCAGGGCUCAGGCACUGGGUGUCAUAUGUGGUUUGGGUCCAGGUUCUAGAGUAUAUCAACUCCAUGACCUUUUUGAUCUUCAGUGUCCUUAUCUAUAAACAGAUAGCACCUGCCACAUGGGGUUGUUGUGCCAAGUCAAUGAAGAAAUACAUACAAAGUACCGGCACAAAGUCUGGCCCCUGGCACUGCGCUAAGACACUGGAUAUGCAUUGGUAAACAAGCAGGCAUCAUAUCUGUUCUCAUGGAGCUUGCAAUCUGGUGGGAGACACACUCUGUAUAAAACAAACAAGCCUAUAAAUAUACAAUGACAGAUUGUAGUCGGUGCUAUGAAGGAAAUGAACUGGUGCCUCAGCGUGCUUGGGAAGAUGAUGUGGGCAGAACCGUGUGGGCUUCAAGAGAAGAAAAGGGCUUCUUAGCACAGGAGCUACUCUUGUGGGAUGGGGAUGGUCGGGCAGUCUUCCCAGGAGAAGAAAACACACCUAUCAGAAGAAACUUGCUUUUUGUUCCAUUGACUCACAGCAUUUUAAAGUUUGAGCAUUUAUCAAAGAUCAUCCAAAACAAAUCUUUUAUUUUAUAAAUGAGUAAACCAAAACAUGGAGAAGGACGUUGCCUCCAGUCGUAUGGCUGGUUAAAUGAAUCAGCAGGCUCCAGAACUCUGGGAGUUUUUUCUAUCACUUCUUAUUUCUUCUUAAAUAUAUCAGAACAUCCAGGAUUUUUUUUUUUUUUAAAGGAAGAUUAGCCCUGAGCUAUGCAAGGGAACCAACUGGGGAGGAGGACUAUCAAGUUCCAUGAUCUGCCCAGCUCAUCACCUUCUCCCCCGACCCCAGCCCUGCCCUGGCAAGGGAGACACAAGAGUCCCAAGUCUGGAGCUCAUCUGACUUAACAGGGAUCUGCCUGGCUGCUGAUCCUUCUCUGACUGUCAUAGCUCAGUUCCUGUUGCCUGGGGUCCUACCUCAGAGAUUAGUUUUUGCUAACCCCAACUGGACCGACCUUCCCAGUACUGUUCAUCUUCCCACCCGACCUGUCCCCCUCCUCAUGUCACCACUGUUCGCUCAGAUCUCUGACUUCAGGCUUCAGCUAAAGGCACCCAUAUUCUGGCCUAAUCAUUCCUUCUGGAUCUGAUCUCCUGGUUGCAGACCAGCAGAAGUCCCUACACCCCUACAUGCCAAUUGUCAAAGGAGCAGGGUCCUGGAUGUUUGAGUGUUAGGUCUCCCAACAUGCAUCCCAUCCAUGCUUCCCUGUCUGAAAUGCCCUCUGUCAUGCCCUUCCUGACUCAUCCCAUCUCCUCCCAUCCCCAUCCAGAACCCUGGGCAGUCAAACAGUAUGAAGAGCAGGGACAGGACAGCAGUGAGGCAAGGGAGGUGCCUGGGGCAUAAAAUUUAAGGAGGCACGCAUUCUCAGUGCCAACUUUGAACUUGCAUGACCCAGAUAGGGACUUCUUCCAUAAAUUUUGCACCCUAAGCACUUCUUUUGCCACACCCUCAUCCUAAUCCUGUUGAGGUGAUCUCCUAAACCUAGAAUAGUCUUAAGGCACUCUCUAGACUAGAGUUUCUUUAAUUUCUGGAAGGGAUCACAUGAUUAUAUAUAGGGAAUUCUACUGCCAAGGUGGAAAAUUCAUGGGGAAGAGGAAAGCAGUUUCUAUCAAGUCCAGCAGGUUUCAUGGAUGGUGAUUAAUCCCUUGGUGAAAAAUGGCAAUUUUAACAUUGACAUGAGUAAUCACAUUUUUUCUUUCCAUAGUAGUUUAGCAUUUCCUGCUAUAAUAAUUCAGGCCUAAUACCUCAUUCAAGGAAUCAGAAGUGUCAGCACACUAUUAGCUUUCCCCCACUGACCCAUUUGUUUCUUCAUAAAAUCGGUCUUAGUCUGCCACCAUGCUGGCAUUCAUUACUGAUUCAUGAUGGACAUUGACAGAGAUUCAAAAAGGGCAUUGCCAAGAGGGACCUCCACACAAAGGAUGAUUCCUCAACUUGGUAGCAACUCAAUGACCCAGUAACUUGGUCAUGAGUCUCUUGACCUAUGAAGUCCCCUGCUCUUCGAUUGUCAAGGCCGUUGUCUGUGAAAAGGCAGGAAGAAAGGAGAAGCCCUUGGGCCAAUGGUCGGGUCUCUUGGCUCCUAACCCUGGCUCUGUUGUCUAACUUUGCUAAACUUUUGACUUCUCUGGGCUUUAAUCUCUUCAUCUGUACAAAGAGAAGACUGGCUGAGAGCGAGGUGAAUAAAGACAGUUUCAGCUUGAAAAUGCUAAGGUGCUACUUGGUGUGGCACUCGAAGUUUUGUUUUUCUUGAGAGUUCCUUGAAGUCUCUCCUGUCUUUGUUCUCUGAAAGACUGACAAUAGCAGUGGGAGUCUAGGGUCAUAUGCACAUUACCAUUCUGAUUUGCCAAGGUGGUUUAGGAAUGUGAAAAGAAAAGCUUUGCUGCACUUUCAUUUCUUGACCUGUACUCUACGCCUUUCCUUGCUCCCUCAGGGCAUCUUCAGGAUCUUCUUGUCAGCUUCCCUUCUGCUGAGCUGCCAACUCAUGCCUCCGUAAGUGAAGGAGGCCUCUUAACUGGCCCACUAGCAUCAUCUCCUUCCCACUAAGGUGUCUGACUCAUAGCUGCAGUGUAACGUGUGGCACCCCCAGAGGAGAAUACAUCUUGCAAAUUGCAUUUUUUGGUCUGCUGCUUUUCUUGGGAGCUGCUUUGCUGGUCUGCCCCUUCUGGAUAUGAGAACCAAGAUGAUAACCAGAAUUGAAUUCUUCACACGUUAGGGAACAUCUAAUUAUAUCUGAAGGAGCUUUUUAACUCAGACUUUUGUUUUUUUCUUUUAAUUUGUAUAUAUUUAUAUCUCAAGUAUAUUUCAUAAGAGUCAAAUAUGAGUAAUAUGUGUAGUACCGCUUAGAUUCUGAGUGUCUAAACAUCAUUAAGAUUGUGAACUCUUACUCUGAAGAAUGUAUUCAGAAUAAAUUCUGAUACUUUU
Non-coding RNA from Equus caballus (horse), 11706 nucleotides. Lineage: Eukaryota; Metazoa; Chordata; Mammalia; Perissodactyla; Equidae. The record is from RefSeq and is a predicted model, not a curated record.